Epinephelus moara (kelp grouper) is the source of this 950-nucleotide long non-coding RNA. RefSeq lists it as uncharacterized. The record is from RefSeq and is a predicted model, not a curated record. NCBI's taxonomy places the organism in Eukaryota, Metazoa, Chordata, Actinopteri, Perciformes, Serranidae. The transcript is spliced from 2 exons.
AAGAGAGUAAAGUCUUAUACAGAGUCAGUGACCUCCCGCCUGUGUGGAUAUUAGAGUGUCUAAUAUUAAGUUGUGCUGAGGUGAAAUAAAGAGCACAUCCUGGUUCGGAAUUCAUCUUCUUGCCUUUUUCUAGCAAUCAACCCAGAUAGCACACAUACAUCUGGCCGACGUCGGCCUGAGGACGACACAUCGGCCCUGAAUUUAUAACGUCUGACAAGUGUCAAUCUUUAAAUUUAAUACUCUUUUGUCCCAGCUCAUCAAACGUCUCUGUUACGUCAGCUUUGGGUCGGCCCAGUGCCGUAGAAUGUCUGCCCACAUACGGAAGGCGCCACAGAGGCGGAAUUUCAUCUCCGCGGUGUUUGUUUGGAACUGAGCUCGCAGGACACAGCAUCUCAUCACAGUUGGUUUCAGCUGACAUUAUCUGCUCAUCUGGUUAUCGUGAGCACUCCUUUUUGGGUUAAAGUGGAAGUGCCCGGAGCUGCCACCCGUGGUCCCGCGCCCCCCCGGCCUGACCUCCGGGGCCCUGGACGUGUGCUCAAGUGUCUGGGAGAGGAGCGCGGAGGUAAGGUGGGGCGGGCCGACACUGUGUAUCCCAGAACGGGUGCUCAAGUGUCGGUGAGACCAGCGGAGAGGAGCGCGGAGGUGAAAUAGUGAAGUUUAAGGAUGCCUUCGGUAUGUUGUUAAUGUGAUUUUAUGGGCAAUUUAUCAGUCGAGGUCUCCUCCUCUGCAAAGCAAACUGACCCGGUGGCUACAGGUAAUAGCGCAGUUUUGAAACGACUGUUUGUUUUUUUUUAGCUGAAAUGCUAAAAAAAAAAAAUACAGUGGUGAAGUUGGGAUUUGUUUUUUGAAGUUACGUGCUCAUCGUCUUUUCUGUCUCUUGCAGGCUGCCAGGAGAAGCGGACUGGUCAUCAGAUAUUGUUUGUGGAAAUUUGAAAAUAAAGUUUGUCAAA